Molecule: long non-coding RNA, 5001 nt
Filed under: Sarcophilus harrisii (Tasmanian devil)
Lineage: Eukaryota; Metazoa; Chordata; Mammalia; Dasyuromorphia; Dasyuridae
Description: lncRNA (ENSSHAG00000030784.1)
Source: RNAcentral
GUCAGGUGUUUCCAAAUGAAAACCAAAUAAAGGGUCCCCCCUUCCUUUCCUCUUAAGAACUUCUCUGGUGUUAAGACCUCAUUAAACCUUGAGUUUCCCCUGCUGAAAGGUGCAUUAAGAAAGAAAACAAAAGGAGCUCAAACCUUUAAGGAAAUCCCCUUUGCCUUAAACAUCGAUGGGUGAUACAUGAAUAAGCCUAGAUGAAAAAAGCCCAAUAUCAUCAAUGGGCAUAGGAUCCAAGAGAUUAAGUGAAAGAUUUGCCUCUUACCAUGCCUGGUUUCCUUCAGUUCAGAACUCAUCUUCUGCAGAACAUCUCUGUGCCAGCCCUCCCAUACCCCACUGCGAGAGUUUCCCCAGGAGACAACCCACAUGGACUGCUUCUGUCUUAAUCCCUAACUUCCCUCAAGAUUCAGCUCCAAUGCCACUAUUGGCAAAAGGCCUUUCUGAAUGAAUCCUGGGUACCUUCUCCUCCGAGGUUACUUUUCAUCUACUCCAAAAGUAUCUACUAUCAAUGCAUUUAUGUACAUCUUGUCUCUUCUCAUUUGAAAAGUAAGCUCCCUGAGGGUAGAGAUUUAAAGACAUUUUUCCUUUAUAUCUCAGAUGCUUGGAACAGAGCUGGUUGGUAAAGUUGGUAAACAUCUGUUGAUUGACUGGUUGAUUGUCUCCUGGCAUUUACUCACUUCCUCUGGAUUGUUUGCCUCUGUUGCCAUCAUGGGUUGGACCUCAACAUGAUCUCACCAUAUCAUUAUUCAUUUAAUCAAUUGGCUCAGCCUGGACUUUUCCCUUUUCCUUUUCCCUUUUCCCCUAGGUGGGUUCCCUCCCACUGGACCUAUCAGUUGUCCUAAAUCACCCAUGUUGGUGCCUACUGCCAACACAUCGCUGAUAAGUAGUAAAAGUGAGAUGGAAAUCCAGUUCUCUCACCCUAGGUGAAGUUUUCUUUCCACGACAUUGGGCCAUUGACAAGGAGGAAGGUCACCACCCAAGCUGCUCCCACAAAGCAGAAUCACAUGGUUCAAAAUUAAUCCCCCACCCUUCCUACCUCCCUCUCCAUCCUAGUGAAAAUGCCCAUUUUAUCACCUGUCUAAUAAAAUAACUUGAUAAAAUACUAAGAAAUUUUUUGAUUCUCAGGUAUAUUUUACAUCUUAAAAGAAAUCUGUAAGAGAUGACAUGUUAACUAACAGCACUUGAGUUGUAGUGGUGGGAUUUCAGGUACUAUAACCCACAAUGGAGGUAGGGAGAGAAAGAAAAUGAUCUUGUUUCUGUUUUUGACUUGACUGGAAAUUUUCUUCCCAGUACUCUUUGGCACAUAUUAUAUAGUACCUUAGCACCAGAGUGAAGCCAGUGGUAAGCAGGCCUGAAGAGCACAAAGCCUCAUGGGACAAAUGAUAGAAAGGCAGCCAAAGUUUAGUGUCUCUUUUUCUAAGCCAUAAUGUUAAAGGCCAUGAAUAACAAACUCCCCUCUCAGCCCUCUGCCCUAGAUGAAAUGCAGACACACAGAGGUUUAAUGUGGUCAGCAGAAAGGAGAACUUCCAGGCAAUGAUAAGCAUCUGGACUGGCCCUCUGGCCCUGCUCUGGGUUUCUUGUUAUCAAGAAAGACUAAGUCUCCUUUUUAUUUCAUUCUGAGGCAGUAGGAGCGUUCCAGCAUGGUUUCAAGUUACAAACAGAAAUGUCAGCCAAGUACUCAAGGGGGUCAAGGUUUGAAUAAACCUGAACCAAUCUCAACCGAGGGUAAAAAUCUUAUGAGGCUCAGGAGUCUCUUAGGUCAUUUCAUGACAUGUUCCAUAUUUUAGUGCCCUGGACUGCAAUCCACACCCCCAAAGGGAAAUGAAAGCCUUAGUCCUUUCACUAGGUAGGACCAUAGUUUUUCCUCCCUUCCUCAUCCUCUGAAGUGUCAAAGUCAUAGCUGUAACUUAGUGUGGGUGCAAGAAUAUAGACUGAGAAAUGCUUCCUGGGUGAGGUGGAGGGUACUUAACAAAGUCAUAGGACCUGAGUUCAAAUCUAGAUUUUGCCCUGAACUGAAAAUGCAACCUUGAGAAAGUUAAAAAAAAAAAAAAAUCUUUCUUUAGUUUCCUUAUCUGUAAAAUGGGAGAAGCGUUAAAGUAAAAAUAAAAAUGACUUCCAAGUUCCAAUGCUAGAUCUGUGAUUCUAAGUCAGGGUCAUUGGAUUCUAUCAUCCUCUUUUUUUUUUUUUUUUUUAAUGCUGUCAAUGACUUUAUUGCCACUGCAGAAUGAAUUAGUGGAAGAACCAGAACUUAGAAUUAUUGUAGUCUUCCCAUGCCCAGAAUUGUGGUAGUCUUGGCAUGCUCAGUAGCCACCUGAAUCUGGAGCUAGAGGAGACAGACAAAAAGAGGUGGUAAAUAUUUAAAUAUAAUUUUCUGAGAGGUGAUAAUUGAAGUCAUAGGAUAUUUCCAAGGGAAAAAUACAUAGAAAAGGGAAGGGAUAAGGCUAGAGCUUUGGAUAAUUUAAAAGGCAGGAAAAGGAAGAGAAAAUAUGGAAUAAACCAGAAGAGAAGCAGGAGAUGUCUGUAGCAACAUGGAAGCCAGGGAAGAAAAAAAAAUCUAGAAAGAGACCAGGAUCUACAACAUCAAAGUACUCUAGUGAGAUGGAAAGAAGUAGAGGCAGAGAGUUCAAAAUCCUCUUUAUUUUGACCAAGGAAAGAGAAAGAUUGGGUUGUAAUUUUAGAGAGGCUAUAUGAUCUAAGAAAGUUUUCUGGUUUGUUUUUUUCCCCUCAAGUUAAUUUUUAAAAAUUUCAUUAAAACAAAGAAGAAGGUAUUUAAAUAUUUGAAAAAGGAAGAUAAGCAAUCAAAUAGUAACCCCAAUGAACCAUCUGUAAAUGAUAUAAGUAUAAAAUUAAUUUUAAUUAUUUCCAUUAUCUUAAAUUGUUAAUCCCUACUACAAAAAUAUGAAUGGUGACUUUACCACUUGCUCGGUCAGUUUAUCCCACAGACCCCUAAGUGCUGCCAUCUUGCCGGACAAUUUACAUUGCAGAUCCCUGGAGAUCUGCUCUGUCUCUAUAUCCUCCUAGACUUACUGUCUCCCUCACUUUGAAUAUUUGAGAACAGAGACUGUCUCUCUUUUCUACGUGCCAUUGUGAGCAUAAAAUGAGAUAAUAUUUAUAAAAGACCACAAGGCUUAAAGUAGUAUAUAAAUGGGCUCUGUGGCUAUUAUCCAACCAAUCUGGAUUUUAGAUUGGAAUUAUGCAAGUAACUAAAUUGGUAUCCUUUGACCUAUUUUUUUUUCCUGGAACAAAAACCAAGGUCAUAUAUCUAUAUGUAUCUAUGUCUAUAUAUAUGUGUGGACACAAUUAUAUCUGUGCUCAUAUUCAUUCAUUCAUAUUCUUUUCAACUAUUUUAUAGUCUAUAAGUACACACACACACACACACACACACACACACACAUAACACAUACUGUUCAUCAUUGUAAAUCUAGGAGCUUCUCUGUGUUCCUAAGGUGAUGUGAUGACAAUUAUUCCAACAUAAGAGGUGAGGGUAUUAUUUAGGGAUUCCUUGAUGCCCAUUGGAAGCCACUCUCGGUUCUACACCUUCCAUGUAAACAGUGAUUUUGGCUUUCCUGGGGGAGGCAUAUUGGUCGUUUUCCUCAUCCAGCCACACAAAUCUUUGAAAGGCGAUAUCCUAGCCUGUAUUCAUUCAGAACAGGAAAGUGUGACAUCUGCGCAAAGACUUAACUCCAAAGCAGGGUUUCUGUGUCAGCAUCUAUAUUAGAACCAGGAAACUAAUUUCUAUAGUGUUGACUGUGUUAUAAUCUUGACACCCUGACUUUGGCGGUGGGCCAUUAUUGAACCUUUCCUAAGUCACAUUGACAUUUUCAAGACACACAACCUUUUAAGGACCUGAAUAGAGACAUUGUGAGAAGCCCAUUGAGUUCUAAAGGAAAGUGCUCUCGGUAAGGGUGGGAAAGCCUGUCUGGUAGUUAAGUUCUUUGGAGGGGUGUUGCCCUGACUAUUUGUGAGCGUGGACGUACUGGAGGAGUCAGUUCCCAGAAGAGAUUUAUACGCCACAGAAGCAGCUUCCAAAAAACAUGAAACCUUUGAUUCUAAUGGCUAGCAGGGACUUCAGAACAUCUAAUCUAUUCCCUACUCCUAGAGCAGAAGGUAUCUCAAUGCCCUCAAAGAGACAAAUGUUUAUAAUCAAACAACAAAAAUUAAGUAUGACAUUGUUCUAGUGAAUAUACAUACAUAUGUACAUAAAUACACAUCCAUCUAAAUAAACAUAUAUAAACACGUGUGUGUCUGUGUUUUUCCUUGAAUGACAAAAUUUUCUGACCUUGCUAGAUCCUGAUUCUAGUUUUGAUAAUUUGCCAGUAGAUGGGAUUAUAUCCCAAAGAGAUCUUAAAGGAGGGAAAGGGACCCAUGUAUGAAAAAAUGUUUGUGGCAGCCUUCUUUAUAGUGUCAAGAAAUUGGAAACUGAGUAAAUGGGCAUUUGCUUGGAGAAUGGCUUAAUAAAUUAUGGUAUAUGAAUGUUAUGGAAUAUUAUUGUUCUGUAAGAAAUGAGCAGCAGUGUGAUUUCAGAGAGGCUUGGAGAGACUUACAUGAACUGAUGCUGAGUGGAAUGAGCAGGACCAGGAGUUCAUUAUAUACGGCAACAAGAAGAAUAUAUGAAGAUCAAUUCUGAUGGAAAUGGCUCUCUUCAACAAUGAGAUGAUUCAAACCAGUUCCACUUGUUCAGUGAUGAAGAGAGCCAUCUACUCCCAGAGAGAGAACUGUGGGAACUGAGUGUGGAAUAUAACAGCAUUCUGACUCUCUGUUGUUAUUUGUUUGCAUUUUGUUUUCUCUCAUUUUUUCUUGUUCUUCCUUCUUGAUCUCAUUUUUCUUGUGCAGCAAGAUAAACAGUUAUGUAUGUAUUCAUAUAAAUACAUAUGAGUAUGUAUUCAUAAAUUGGAUUUAACAUGUAUUUUAACAUAUUUAACAUGUAUGCGAUUACCUGCCCGCUAGGGUAGUAGAUGCGAAGAAGGAGGGGAAAAUUUGAAACACAAAGUUUUAUAA